GGGCAAUGCGCAUGCGGGAGGCACGAGCCCAUUCUCCCGUGACGGUGACUCCAACGGUUGGCUGAGGACGAUUCCCUGAGCCUUGACAAAGCAGGAGCCCUCCGUGGCAGUGCGUCGGGGUCGAGGCUCCAGCCUGACCAAUCCAGGGGGUCGACAAAACAGAUUCGGGACACCAUGCUACACGCAGGGCCUACCAGGAUGCAGAAACAGCAGACGGAGUCCGGGGAAAGCAGUGCGGCAUCCCAGCCUCAGGCCUGCCCGUACGGUGUUCGGGUGCCUCUGGACUCAUCCCCUGCCACCUGCCAUAACAACAUCAUGAAGCAGACGAUGGUGGAUUCCUCCUGUAGAAUCCUUACCAGUGACGUCUUCCAGGACUGCAACAAGCUGGUGGACCCCGAG
Molecule: long non-coding RNA, 399 nt
Filed under: Homo sapiens (human)
Lineage: Eukaryota; Metazoa; Chordata; Mammalia; Primates; Hominidae
Description: non-protein coding LINC01665:7
Source: RNAcentral